Molecule: ribosomal RNA, 253 nt
Filed under: uncultured bacterium
Lineage: Bacteria
Description: partial 16S ribosomal RNA
Rfam family: Bacterial small subunit ribosomal RNA
Source: RNAcentral
UACGUAGGUCACAAGCGUUGUCCGGAUUUACUGGGUGUAAAGGGCGUGUAGGCGGAGCUGCAAGUCAGAUGUGAAAUUCCGGGGCUCAACCCCGGAACUGCAUUUGAAACUGCAGCCCUUGAGUAUCGGAGAGGCAAGCGGAAUUCCUAGUGUAGCGGUGAAAUGCGUAGAUAUUAGGAGGAACACCAGUGGCGAAGGCGGCUUGCUGGACGACAACUGACGCUGAGGCGCGAAAGCGUGGGGAGCAAACAGG